RNAcentral lists this ribosomal RNA (542 nucleotides) under Enterobacter asburiae. RNAcentral's name for it is "partial 23S ribosomal RNA". It matches the Rfam family "Bacterial large subunit ribosomal RNA", at positions 1 to 583 of the family's 2925-position model. RNAcentral also lists the same sequence under 2 other names. Lineage: Bacteria; Pseudomonadati; Pseudomonadota; Gammaproteobacteria; Enterobacterales; Enterobacteriaceae. The record is from RNAcentral.
GGUUAAGCGACUAAGCGUACACGGUGGAUGCCCUGGCAGUCAGAGGCGAUGAAGGACGUGCUAAUCUGCGAAAAGCGCCGGCGAGGUGAUAUGAACCUUUGACCCGGCGAUGUCCGAAUGGGGAAACCCAGUGUGAUUCGUCACACUAUCGUUAACUGAAUACAUAGGUUAACGAGGCGAACCGGGGGAACUGAAACAUCUAAGUACCCCGAGGAAAAGAAAUCAACCGAGAUUCCCCCAGUAGCGGCGAGCGAACGGGGAGCAGCCCAGAGUCUGAAUCAGCUUGUGUGUUAGUGGAAGCGUCUGGAAAGUCGCACGGUACAGGGUGACAGUCCCGUACACGAAAGCACACAGGUUGUGAACUCGAAGAGUAGGGCGGGACACGUGGUAUCCUGUCUGAAUAUGGGGGGACCAUCCUCCAAGGCUAAAUACUCCUGACUGACCGAUAGUGAACCAGUACCGUGAGGGAAAGGCGAAAAGAACCCCGGCGAGGGGAGUGAAAAAGAACCUGAAACCGUGUACGUACAAGCAGUGGGAGCACC